AACGAACGCUGGCGGCAGGCCUAACACAUGCAAGUCGAGCGCACCUUCGGGUGAGCGGCGGACGGGUUAGUAACGCGUGGGAACAUACCCUUUUCUACGGAAUAGCCUCGGGAAACUGAGAGUAAUACCGUAUAAGCCCUUCGGGGGAAAGAUUUAUCGGGAAAGGAUUGGCCCGCGUUAGAUUAGAUAGUUGGUGGGGUAAUGGCCUACCAAGUCUACGAUCUAUAGCUGGUUUUAGAGGAUGAUCAGCAACACUGGGACUGAGACACGGCCCAGACUCCUACGGGAGGCAGCAGUGAGGAAUAUUGGACAAUGGAGGCAACUCUGAUCCAGCCAUGCCGCGUGCAGGAAGACGGCCCUAUGGGUUGUAAACUGCUUUUAUACGGGAAGAACCACAUCUACGUGUAGAUGCUUGACGGUACCGUAUGAAUAAGACCGCUAACU
RNAcentral lists this ribosomal RNA (444 nucleotides) under uncultured bacterium. RNAcentral describes it as "bacterial SSU rRNA". It matches the Rfam family "Bacterial small subunit ribosomal RNA", at positions 29 to 502 of the family's 1533-position model. The record is from RNAcentral.